AGACACCGCCUCCACCACAGUUCUGACAACUUGUUCCUAAGUGUUUGUCAGUCUUGUUUGUAUUAUUGCCAGUGUUAUACAUGGCCGGACACUGCGCCACGCGACUGCAUUGCCAGCCACGAGGAAGUCUGACAAGUAUCACAAGCUCGAGGACUGACUGGACUAUAAAGUGGGACUUGUCUUAAAAGACCAGGAGCAACAUUGGAGAUGAUGCAGAAAGUGGCAUCUGUCUUUGCUACUCACAUCCAUACAGCAAUGAACAAAGGAGAACAGUUUUCAUAGCCCAUGCCAAGAUUGUCAGACAAGAAAAACAAAUCUAUCUGAAAACCAAGUGAAGGAAAUGAUGCUGCUCCAGUGGUAUCUAUAAUGUCUUUAUUUGUCUUGACCAACUCUGAGAAGCAAGUUCGAGCUCAACCAUGCUGUGUGUCUGACUUCUGCUAAGUGUGGAGCAUCAUGCCAUCCCAAGUGCCUGUUAGAACUGAGUGGUGACACCAAUACAGACAGAAAUGGUUCGCGGGCUCCUUACCUGGCAACUCAGAAGCAGGAAUGUUCUGACGAUACUGGUAGGUCAGCUCUCGGAAGCUACGCAGACCACAGCAGUAACACAGCACAGUAUUUCCAGUGAUUCUGUAAUCUGGGGGAACACAGCCAUAUCUGGACACAGCCAUUUAUCAAGCAAUGUCAUUUUCUAACACCAAAAUAGACACACUUCAAACUAGUAGGAAACUAACACAUCAACUCAAUAGGUUAGACAUUUGGAAAAUAAUCCCAAAACCAAUCUAAAUACCAAUUUAGCUGGAUUUUUAUUUAUUUUUAUUUUAUCAGUGUUUAUGUGCAUUAAUGUCUGGGCAUCAUAUGUGUGCAGUAGGUGCAAAGAUGGAUCCUCUGGCACCAGAGUUACAGAUAGUCAUGAGCCACCAUGUAGGCGCUGGGAACCCUGGUCCUCUCCAAGAGCAACGCAUGCUCACAGCUACUAAAAUAAUCACCCGUGGAUUAAAAUUUUAAAUAUUUAAAAAUCCCCCCAAAAGUUUUAAGAUUGGAGAGAGUAUUCUCUUGUGCUAAAGUAAAUUAAAUUAGUAAUUCCUUAUCUGAAAUACAUGGGUCAGAGGUAUUUAAUAUGGUUAAUUAUUCCUUAUCUAGAACAUGUAGGUCACUGGUAUUCUGGCUUAGAUUGAUUUUUCAGAUUUGAACAUAUUUGCGUUUAUGUUCCCAAGGAUUAAAAUAAAUUGUGUGUAUAAGUGUUUUGCCUG
RNAcentral lists this long non-coding RNA (1250 nucleotides) under Mus musculus (house mouse). RNAcentral describes it as "predicted gene 15787, transcript variant 2 (Gm15787)". Lineage: Eukaryota; Metazoa; Chordata; Mammalia; Rodentia; Muridae. The record is from RNAcentral.